RNAcentral lists this ribosomal RNA (551 nucleotides) under uncultured bacterium. RNAcentral's name for it is "bacterial SSU rRNA". It matches the Rfam family "Bacterial small subunit ribosomal RNA", at positions 959 to 1509 of the family's 1533-position model. The record is from RNAcentral.
CGACGAAGAACCUUACCUACCCUUGACAUCCAGAGGAUUUUCCAGAGAUGGAUUAGUGCCUUCGGGAACUCUGAGACAGGUGCUGCAUGGCUGUCGUCAGCUCGUGUUGUGAAAUGUUGGGUUAAGUCCCGUAACGAGCGCAACCCCUAUCCUUAUUUGCCAGCGAUUCGGUCGGGAACUCUAAGGAGACUGCCGGUGACAAACCGGAGGAAGGUGGGGAUGACGUCAAGUCAUCAUGGCCCUUACGGGUAGGGCUACACACGUGCUACAAUGGGGAGUACAGAGGGACGCAAAGCGGCGACGUGAAGCCAAUCCCAAAAAAGCUCUCCUCAGUCCGGAUUGGAGUCUGCAACUCGACUCCAUGAAGUCGGAGUCGCUAGUAAUCGCGAAUCAGAAUGUCGCGGUGAAUACGUUCCCGGGCCUUGUACACACCGCCCGUCACACCAUGGGAGUGGAUUGCACCAGAAGUGGCUAGUUUAACCUUCGGGGGAACGGUUACCACGGUGUGGUUCAUGACUGGGGUGAAGUCGUAACAAGGUAGGCGUAGCGAG